UUGAACGCUGGCGGCAUGCCUUACACAUGCAAGUCGAACGGCAGCACGGGGGCGACCCUGGUGGCGAGUGGCGAACGGGUGAGUAACGCAUCGGAACGUACCCGGAAGUGGGGGAUAACGUAGCGAAAGUUACGCUAAUACCGCAUACGUCCUGAGGGAGAAAGCGGGGGACCGUAAGGCCUCGCGCGAUUGGAGCGGCCGAUGUCGGAUUAGCUAGUUGGUGGGGUAAAGGCCUACCAAGGCGACGAUCCGUAGCGGGUCUGAGAGGAUGAUCCGCCACACUGGGACUGGGACACGGCCCAGACUCCUACGGGAGGCAGCAGUGGGGAAUUUUGGACAAUGGGGGCAACCCUGAUCCAGCCAUGCCGCGUGAGUGAAGAAGGCCUUCGGGUUGUAAAGCUCUUUCAGACGGAAAGAAAACGCAUCGGUGAAUAUCCGGUGUGGAUGACGGUACCGUAAGAAGAAGCACCGGCUAACUACGU
Molecule: ribosomal RNA, 482 nt
Filed under: uncultured bacterium
Lineage: Bacteria
Description: bacterial SSU rRNA
Rfam family: Bacterial small subunit ribosomal RNA
Source: RNAcentral